RNAcentral lists this long non-coding RNA (1575 nucleotides) under Nicotiana benthamiana. RNAcentral's name for it is "long non-coding RNA (NBEN_LNC042665)". The record is from RNAcentral. Lineage: Eukaryota; Viridiplantae; Streptophyta; Magnoliopsida; Solanales; Solanaceae.
CUUCAGGCCUGGUUAAAGCUGUUCGCUUUGUUUACUUGACGAAAUUUUACGAUUAGCCUCUUUUUCUCCAUAUUUGAUCCCAAAAGUACUCAACAGCCUUCUCUUGUCAUAUAUAACCUGCAAAGCAUAAAAAGCGCUAAUCAGAGCAUUUUUUUUAUCACUUUUACCAUUAAAACUAUACAAGAAGGUGCUUAUUUAGGGCCUAAUUAUAGUUAAAUUCACAUAUUAUCGACACCCCACACUUAAACCUUUGCUCAUCCUCGAUCAAGUUAAACCCCACUUCUAGGCCUAACCGUUCGAUGCAUUGCCCAUUUUUUUAUGCCACACCCGCCAUUAUGAAGGAACAACCUAAGCAGUGCAGUAGUCACGCCUGAGAUGAAGACUCUAACACCAUGACACACUCGUGCUCACUCUAGUUACUCAACAGAGGUUAAAAUUCAUUUUUUUUCCUGAGUCACAUGCCCUCACAUCACAAUUCUGAGAGAAGUUUAACAUACAUAAAAUUCAAGCAACAAGGAACCAAAAUAGGAAGAAUUCACUCACUCUCAGCAAAGAACAUUCACAUGCCACACAGAUACACCAUAAGCUUGCCUCUAUUGUAGUACAAUACUAAUCGAAUUGUUCAGUCAACGAUCAAAAGGUCUUUAUUUGGUUGUAAUGUAGGCUAAUGGAUGGGUAGGAUAUAUUUGGAUAUAGUGACAAGCCUCCCUGAGCACUUCUAAUACACUCUUUUUUUUUAUUUCAAUUUCCAUGCUCAGCCCACUUGUUCUUCUACAUUUUAGUUCAUAGGUGACCCUCACUUUUCUUUAGGUUCAACUGAUGUUUUUGCUUUUUCUUUCUUUUUGUUUUGUUUUCUUCAUUUAUUUCUUGAUUUUACAAAUCCAUUACACCCUUUAAGUUUUUCUUUCCUGAUUCCCCCUUUUCCUACUUCCUUACCACCCCACACUUAGACUUUUAUAUGUUCUCUAGUAAUUCAAGUGCUUCUAGGAGGUAUAGGUUCAAACAGUCAAAUUAUCCGAACACAUGGAUAUAGGUCACUAUUGGGUUAUCAAAGAACAGGCUUCAGGCUCAAAUGGGUUAAUUAUGGCAAUAUAUACAUGUCGAUUCACAAAUAUAUAGGCUACACAAAGAAAUGCCUCAAUCAUCAUUAAAAUCAAACAACUUCUAUUUGUUUUGCAAACACACAGGGCAAGUUAUAGGUAUCACAUGCAAGCAUAGAAUACAAGUAAUAGCUCACACACUUGUCAUGUAACUCAUUCUGAAUCAGUUUAUCAACACACUCAUAUGAGCAUUCAAGCCAGACAAGAUGUGCAAAAUUAAGACAUAGAUUUACGAGUCUACAAACGAGCCUCGACGUCGCACCCUCAAGUUCGUUUUAUUAUUUGCAGGUGUAAACAUUAAGGGUUGCAUUCUAGCCUUCGCCCAUUUUGGUCCAAGAGAGUCCUAAGGUCCUAAAACUACAAAAGAAAAAUAUACCUAACCCGGUUCAAGAAAAUCCAUUGGAAAAGAACCGCGGUCAAAAGAAAAAUCAAGGGAGAAUUACUAUAAUACCUAAAAAAUAAAAAUAAAAUAAAA